RNAcentral lists this long non-coding RNA (362 nucleotides) under Pan troglodytes (chimpanzee). Its description in RNAcentral is "long non-coding RNA NONPTRT004171". Lineage: Eukaryota; Metazoa; Chordata; Mammalia; Primates; Hominidae. The record is from RNAcentral.
AUGGUCCUGUUCAUGGAACCGAGUGAUUCUACAUUUUCUCUGGAAGAAGGAGCAGACAAAAAUGUAGACACAAAGAAGAUAAACAGGAGGCGGAUAGGUGGAGAGUUCUAUGAGGACCAAACGCAAGAUUAUUGGCAGAGGAAAUGCAUACGUGUUAGACCAAGAGGGUGCACUCAUUCUCAGGGUGGCCAUUGCAGACUACCGUAGACUGAGUGGCUUAAAAUCUCCAGCCUGAGUGAUGGAGUGAGGCUCCAACUGUGGAAAAAAAAAAAAAAGGAAGAGGAAGAUUCGGUGGGUUUUUAUGGGGUAUUGGCAUAUCGGGCCACUGCACUCUAGUCUGGGUGACAGAGUGACACCCUGCA